CUCUGGUUUGAGAGAAUAAUCAGGGCGUAAAGGAG
This 35-nucleotide non-coding RNA is filed under the name Sporolactobacillus terrae HKM-1. Lineage: Bacteria; Bacillati; Bacillota; Bacilli; Caryophanales; Sporolactobacillaceae. The record is from RNAcentral.